RNAcentral lists this ribosomal RNA (465 nucleotides) under uncultured Klebsiella sp. Its description in RNAcentral is "bacterial SSU rRNA". It matches the Rfam family "Bacterial small subunit ribosomal RNA", at positions 338 to 795 of the family's 1533-position model. The record is from RNAcentral. Lineage: Bacteria; Pseudomonadati; Pseudomonadota; Gammaproteobacteria; Enterobacterales; Enterobacteriaceae.
CCUACGGGCGGCUGCAGUGGGGAAUAUUGCACAAUGGGCGCAAGCCUGAUGCAGCCAUGCCGCGUGUGUGAAGAAGGCCUUCGGGUUGUAAAGCACUUUCAGCGGGGAGGAAGGCGGUGAGGUUAAUAACCUCAUCGAUUGACGUUACCCGCAGAAGAAGCACCGGCUAACUCCGUGCCAGCAGCCGCGGUAAUACGGAGGGUGCAAGCGUUAAUCGGAAUUACUGGGCGUAAAGCGCACGCAGGCGGUCUGUCAAGUCGGAUGUGAAAUCCCCGGGCUCAACCUGGGAACUGCAUUCGAAACUGGCAGGCUAGAGUCUUGUAGAGGGGGGCAGAAUUCCAGGUGUAGCGGUGAAAUGCGUAGAGAUCUGGAGGAAUACCAGUGGCGAAGGCGGCCCCCUGGACAAAGACUGACGCUCAGGUGCGAAAGCGUGGGGAGCAAACAGGAUUAGAUACCCGAGUAGUC